This is a long non-coding RNA of Solanum pennellii, 1203 nucleotides long. RefSeq lists it as uncharacterized. NCBI's taxonomy places the organism in Eukaryota, Viridiplantae, Streptophyta, Magnoliopsida, Solanales, Solanaceae. The transcript is spliced from 7 exons. The record is from RefSeq and is a predicted model, not a curated record.
UAAAAAUUAAAUUUUUCUUUCCCCCAAAUCAGAAAGAAAAUCUGUAAAAGUGAAAAGUUGUGGUGGACUUUUCUCUUAAGAACUAAUCGAAGCAUGCAGUACUUUUCUCUGAAGAACUGAUAGGAGAGUUGAAGUUAAAGUCUGAAGAACUGACGGAAGAGCUGAAGCUAUGUCUCUCCGUCACAGAUGAGCUGAAGCUAUAUCUAUCAGAUUUCUCGUUGAAGAACAUGAUUUCUCGUUGAAGAGCUUCUCGAUGAAGAACACGAUUUUUUUCAUAGUCCUCGCCGAAGAACACGAUUUUGUUGGUACAGGUUUUAUCAGCUCAAAAUUGUCCAUCUACGGAUAGGAAUGAGAAGCAGGAAGACGGGGAGAAAGUGAUAAGUGGUUUAUUGGACGGAAGUGGGAAUAUACUCUUUUAUAUGAGGAUAAUGAAGGUGACAGGAUGCUUGUUGGGGAUGUUCCUUAGAAUCGUAUUUGGAAUGAAACGUGGCUGGAUGGAUUCUUUUACAAACCAUGCAACCAUGAUUUAUUUGUCAAGCACACUCUUAAAAUGGAAAUGGUCAUUGUCAUGGCAAGGGAAGCUGGCGUGGACUUGCUCUUUCAUCUUGAUACUGAUGAGCUAGUGCAUCCAGCUGGAACUAGUGAGUAUUCUUUAAGGAGACUUCUAGCAGAUAUACCUGAAAAUGUUGACAUGGUCAAAUUUCCUAACUAUUGUUGAGAGAGAUGAUGUGAAGGAACCUUUUAGUGAAGUCUCGAUGUUCAAGAAGAUUCUAUGACCUUCUCACAAAAGAAAUGUACUUUGGACACUACAAGGAAGCAACUCGUGGUAAUCCUAACUACUUUUUGACUUACGCAAAUGGCAAAUCAGCUGCUCGAAUUCAAGAUCAUCUUCCUCCUAAUGGUGCUCAUAGAUGUCACAACUCAAUGAAAAGCCCAAAGUGAUCAAAUUUGAAGGGUCGCCACAAGUCAAUUUGAUCUCAUUGAAGUGGAAGUGGAUAUAAAGAGUUUUCGAAAUAUCGUACAAGUUUGAAUACAUUAUAUUUGAUUUUGGAAAUAUAUUCAUUGCUAGAAUAUAUUGAACUAUUGUAAGAGUACUUUUUGAACUAUUAUGUACAGACAUCUAGAAUAUUGCUUUAUACUUACAUAAGACAACUAUCUUUUGAAGUUUAUUGCAAAUCCAUAUAUUUGAAUUACUUAUUGGCU